AAUCAUCAGUUUUAAAUUGCUAGAUGCAUGUGAAUCAACAGCCUAAAUUCAUUAUAGCAUUAGUGCAAAAUGGUAUCCAUUGAUUAUUCAAAAGUUGCAAGCACAAACCAGUACAAGAAAAACCUUUUCAGCAGUACAUAAAAAUGUUUUUCUACACCAAAGUAUGGUCAAGCCUUGGGAACGACAAAUUAUCAUCUGUCCUCUUAGACAAGAAAAAGGCCUAGGGAUCACUCUUUGGCAGGUCACACAGCUCACAUGUAUAAAUAAUAGUGGCCAAGGUUUCUUAAAUUAGAAUGAAGAAAUAAUUUCUAUUGAUGUCAGUAAGAAAUCAAGACAUAGUACCAGCACUUGAAACCUCAAAAUCUCCUUUUCCGUGUGCACUGUUG
This 386-nucleotide unclassified non-coding RNA is filed under the name Hevea brasiliensis (rubber tree). Lineage: Eukaryota; Viridiplantae; Streptophyta; Magnoliopsida; Malpighiales; Euphorbiaceae. The record is from RNAcentral.